RNAcentral lists this transfer RNA (55 nucleotides) under Triclaria malachitacea. Its description in RNAcentral is "tRNA-Glu". The record is from RNAcentral. Lineage: Eukaryota; Metazoa; Chordata; Aves; Psittaciformes; Psittacidae.
UUAAGAGUACUAAGGGAAGUUUUAGGCCAUAAGCUUUAGAUAGUUUGGGUAGAAG